RNAcentral lists this ribosomal RNA (253 nucleotides) under uncultured bacterium. RNAcentral describes it as "partial 16S ribosomal RNA". It matches the Rfam family "Bacterial small subunit ribosomal RNA", at positions 524 to 776 of the family's 1533-position model. The record is from RNAcentral.
UACGUAGGUGACAAGCGUUGUCCGGAUUUACUGGGCGUAAAGAGCGCGCAGGCGGUCGAUCAAGUCGAGUGUGAAAGCCCCCGGCUCAACUGGGGAGGGUCAUUCGAAACUGGUCGACUCGAAGGCAGGAGAGGGUAGUGGAAUUCCCGGUGUAGUGGUGAAAUGCGUAGAUAUCGGGAGGAACACCAGUGGCGAAGGCGGCAUCCUGGACCAACACUGACGCUGAGGAGCGAAAGCCAGGGGAGCAAACGGG